Molecule: long non-coding RNA, 1677 nt
Filed under: Podarcis lilfordi (Lilford's wall lizard)
Lineage: Eukaryota; Metazoa; Chordata; Lepidosauria; Squamata; Lacertidae
Source: RNAcentral
AACAUAAUGCAGCCCAGUGAGCCUUAGAAAUCAGUCAACAAUAGGUCCUUACUUCAGUGUCACUCUGUAUGGCUCAGGAAAGGUUGAGAAACUAUGUUUAUUGCUUUUGACAGACAUCUUCUGAUCAGUGUCAGCAGGAGGAUCAGGCUGCUAGGGCAAGAAAGGAAGGCAAAAGAAAACCCACUGAUAGUUAGCAGCUGUUUGCAGCUGAUUUGAUCCUGAACAGCUAAGUCAGUCCUUCCACCAGCAGAAUAAAGCUUCUAGCAGGAAAUAACUGCAGUCCUUCCAUCCCCCGUGAUUCUUCCUAUUUGUCCCUGAGGAUUCCCCAGAGGCCACCCCCUUCGCUGGGCCUGCUCUGACUCCAUCUCAGUUGCUUCAGUGUGGCUGGAAUUGGUCCUUGAAGUGGAACGAUGCCUCUUGCUUGAGAGAUGUGCCCACAUGUGACUUUGUGGCUGGAAUGCAUCCUACAGAACAAAGGUGAGAUCCACCUGCUUGACUCCACCCACUUUUGUCUCUGGUCCUGCCCACCACAGUGGUACCUCGGGUUACAGACGCUUCAGGUUACAGACUCCGCCAACCCUGAAAUAGUACCUCGGGUUAAGAACUUUGCUUCAGGAUGAGAACAGAAAUUGUGCUCUGGCGGUGCGGCAGCAGCAGGAGGCCCCAUUAGCUAAAGUGGUACCUCAGGUUAAGAACAGUUUCAGGUUAAGAACGGACCUCCGGAACGAAUUAAGUACUUAACCUGAGGUACCACUGUGUAAGGGAAUGUGGCCCUGCGGCUUAAAGAAAAACAGUCUCCAACCCUUCUAUGGGAAGUCUUGGGAGUAUCCGUUACAAGGGAUAUUUCCCUGUGAGGGAAGUACUGGAGUCUUAUAGUGGUUUGUUGAAGUUCUAGUAAAAUCUGUUUGUUUUUAAAUUUACAGGUGGGUCAUGGUGAAGCUGGAGCAGGCAUACCCCCCCAGAUAGAUAACACUAUUCUUUACAGCAGCAUCAGAGGCCCCCCCCCCCCAGCAAAAAGUAUACAAAACAAGUCCCUUGAAUAUUUUGUUGCAGCUAAUGACAAAACUCAGACCCCCACCUCCUUUCCUGGUGGCAUUCAAAUUGCUAGCUGGUUCCCUCCAGCUCCACCCCAGUAGGAAUGGUGUGUGGAGUAACUAGUAGACCCCAGCCAUCAAAAACUAUUAAUACUUGUUUAAUCAAGCACUUUUUACCUUUCAGUGCCCAUUAGGAAAUGCUCUUCGGCAGUCCUCUUUUCACAAACAUAACACUACGCCCAUAAAAAAUAUAAUGCAUCAAAAUUAGUCAGCAACACAGUAGGUUUAAAAAGCAACAACCCUUAAUGAUUUGACAGCCUGCUAAAAUGAGUAAUAAUGAGAGAGAGAAGGGGGGGGGGGAGAGAGAUACGCCCUCUGUAUUUGCAUAAUAUUAAGGGAUCAGGCAGACUACCAGAUAAGCUCUCUGUUUCAAUAGGCAUUUGGAAGCUGACUGCUUUUCAUAAAAGGGCUGGUGCUGUGCUGGUUUCAUUGCAAUUAUUUGUAUGUUUUAAACAUAUACAUAUACAUACAUAUACUUAUACAUAUAUAUAUACACACACACACACACACACACACACACACACACACACACAUAUAUAAUCCAUUGAUGUUUAAUUGUAUUUUAAUGAUUGAUUUGUCUAUG